Molecule: ribosomal RNA, 600 nt
Filed under: Halomonas daqiaonensis
Lineage: Bacteria; Pseudomonadati; Pseudomonadota; Gammaproteobacteria; Oceanospirillales; Halomonadaceae
Description: bacterial SSU rRNA
Rfam family: Bacterial small subunit ribosomal RNA
Source: RNAcentral
UCCGGGGUAAACAGGCCCUUCGGGGUGCUGACGAGCGGCGGACGGGUGAGUAAUGCAUAGGAAUCUGCCCGAUAGUGGGGGAUAACCUGGGGAAACUCAGGCUAAUACCGCAUACGUCCUACGGGAGAAAGCAGGGGCUCUUCGGACCUUGCGCUAUCGGAUGAGCCUAUGUCGGAUUAGCUGGUUGGUGAGGUAACGGCUCACCAAGGCGACGAUCCGUAGCUGGUCUGAGAGGAUGAUCAGCCACAUCGGGACUGAGACACGGCCCGAACUCCUACGGGAGGCAGCAGUGGGGAAUAUUGGACAAUGGGGGCAACCCUGAUCCAGCCAUGCCGCGUGUGUGAAGAAGGCCCUCGGGUUGUAAAGCACUUUCAGUGGGGAAGAAGGCCUUGGGGUUAAUACCCUCGAGGAAGGACAUCACCCACAGAAGAAGCACCGGCUAACUCCGUGCCAGCAGCCGCGGUAAUACGGAGGGUGCGAGCGUUAAUCGGAAUUACUGGGCGUAAAGCGCGCGUAGGCGGCGUGAUAAGCCGGUUGUGAAAGCCCCGGGCUCAACCUGGGAAUGGCAUCCGGAACUGUCAGGCUAGAGUGCAGGAGAGG